RNAcentral lists this ribosomal RNA (265 nucleotides) under uncultured bacterium. RNAcentral describes it as "partial 16S ribosomal RNA". It matches the Rfam family "Bacterial small subunit ribosomal RNA", at positions 793 to 1055 of the family's 1533-position model. The record is from RNAcentral.
GUCCACGCCCUAAACUAUGGCAACUAGUUGUUGGAGGAUGAACUCCUUUAGUAACGCAGCUAACGCGUGAAGUUGCCCGCCUGGGGAGUACGGUCGCAAGAUUAAAACUCAAAGGAAUUGACGGGGGCCCGCACAAGCGGUGGAUGAUGUGGUUCAAUUCGAUGCAACGCGAAAAACCUUACCUACCCUUGACAUGUGAGGAACCUCGAUGAAAGUCGAGGGUGCCCGAAAGGGAGCCUCAACACAGGUGCUGCAUGGCUGUCGU